AACCCCGGUCCCAUGCAGUCGAGCGGAAGGCCCCUUCGGUGGUACUCGAGCGGCGAACGGGUGAGUAACACGUGAGCAACCUGCCCCUGACUCUGGGAUAAGCCCGGUAAACUGGGUCUAAUACCGGAUAUGACGCAUUCUCGCAUGGGAUGUGUGUGGAAAGUUUUUCGGUUGGGGAUGGGCUCGCGGCCUAUCAGCUUGUUGGUGGGGUGAUGGCCUACCAAGGCGACGACGGGUAACCGGCCUGAGAGGGCGACCGGUCACACUGGGACUGAGACACGGCCCAGACUCCUACGGGAGGCAGCAGUGGGGAAUAUUGCGCAAUGGGCGGAAGCCUGACGCAGCGACGCCGCGUGGGGGAUGACGGCCUUCGGGUUGUAAACCUCUUUCAGCAGGGACGAAGCUAACGUGACGGUACCUGCAGAAGAAGCGCCGGCUAACUACGUGCCAGCAGCCGCGGUAAUACGUAGGGCGCAAGCGUUGUCCGGAAUUAUUGGGCGUAAAGAGCUCGUAGGCGGUUUGUCGCGUCUGUCGUGAAAGCCCACGGCUUAACUGUGGGUCUGCGGUGGAUACGGUCAGACUAGAGGCAGGUAGGGGAGAAUGGAAUUCCCGGUGUAGCGG
This 621-nucleotide ribosomal RNA is filed under the name Actinomadura sp. RNAcentral's name for it is "bacterial SSU rRNA". It matches the Rfam family "Bacterial small subunit ribosomal RNA", at positions 43 to 681 of the family's 1533-position model. The record is from RNAcentral. Lineage: Bacteria; Bacillati; Actinomycetota; Actinomycetes; Streptosporangiales; Thermomonosporaceae.